Molecule: long non-coding RNA, 2997 nt
Organism: Oreochromis aureus
Lineage: Eukaryota; Metazoa; Chordata; Actinopteri; Cichliformes; Cichlidae
Source: Ensembl
CUGAAUUGAUGCUGAUUCCAUCCUAGUGUUGAGCUGCAGGAUUGAAAGAGACAGUAUACAACAGGAAAUGGUCUGGGAAAGACUUCAACCCGGGCCCCUACACAGAUGGGCUUUAGCCUGCAGUGCACAGACUGCUGACUCAACCAGGAGAAGAUGAUCUGCAGGAUCCUGCUGCUCAUCAUCCUCACCUCAUGUAUCUCUGGAUCAUUUGUAGUCAAUGUGACACAGACCUCCUAUCAGGCAGAGGAGAACCACAACAUCACACUGGAGUGGACGUUCACCACCAAACCUGACAGAUCAACCAAAACUCUUUCCAUCAUUUGUUGCCUUAUAGCUUGCCAUGAACACUUUGUCCUCUAUCGUGUCAUUCAUGGUGUUGAGUUGUCAAAGUCUCGGGAUAAAAAGUUUUCAGGACGAGUCCAGAGUGACAAAGACGCCCUCAGAGAAGGACGAAUCAGACUUCAACUGUCCAGACUCAGGACUGAUGACUCGGGUCUGUACCUGUGUGAGGUCAACACUGAUUAUGGCUUCAGUUCUGCCAGAUGCAGAGUCAGUGUUUCUGGUGCUGAAAGUCGAAAUAAGAACUACUGGGAUCAAGUUAAAAUUGUUCUGGGAGUUUUAGAGAGUGCACUUUUAAUAGUUAGUGGCAUGAUAGUUUUGAUCAUUGUUGCUGUUCAGGGUCUUGUGCAGUCUUUUAGAAAACAUAAGAUAGGAGGUCCUCUUUUAAAAUGAACUACUUCAUCUGCUAUGUUUUAUGUUGCUGCUUUCAAUCUGAAUGUUUUCUGACAAAAAAAAACCAUACAAUUAAAGCCAACUAAAGAUGUUCUCUAUAAGGAAGUAUCGUAGAUUCUCUUCUUCAUGUUAGAUUAAAACCAAAAAUAUCUUUGUUUAAAUACAAGCUUUUGUAUAUUCAAAAAUUCACUGCACUUCUUUCACUAACGUUCAUUAUUGACUCCACGAUUUGUUCCAACUUCCAACUCAGCUUUCAGCAUUAGCUUCUCAGUGAGCACGCACAUUAUUAUUUAACUAAAAUAAAGAUGACUUGUUUACUGUGUCAAUGCCAAAUUCAUUCUCUGCCAAUUUAUUUCCAUGUUCUUCUGCAACUGUCAAAGUUUUCAGUUUAGAGCUCAUAAUGUAGCAGGAGUUUUUAACCACUUAAUUGCUUCAUUCUUCAAAGCUUGGUCUUUCUGCUUAUUUAACAUAUUUAGCCAUGUUAUUUAUAUAAGAGUUUACUUUUCUCUCAGACAGCUGAUGGACCAGAAGCGUUAUGGAAAUAACAAACAAUUUUCUAAAUAAAAAAUAAAAAUAUAUAAAGAAAGAGAAAGGAAAAAUACACAAAAAUAUUAUGCAUCAAUAAAUUUACUUUUUUUUAGGACAUUUCUGGUAUCUAAUGUUUCUAUUUAACACUGACCUAUGGAUCAUUCAAACAUUAAACAGUCACCUAACUCAGGGGAUGAACCACUGCUAUGUCUAUGGAUAACAGACCGCUUACAAAAGAACUAAUUUUAAAUUAUUAAGGCAAUUUAUAUAUGGCAGUCUGUUACAAGACAAAACACACCUGUCCCCAUUAAGUUGAAUCUACAAAAAAAUCCAAAGAUGGCAGAGUUUGACAAACAUAAAAUAGAAUUUUUUUUGCAGGAACAAGGCGAUUCUCAAAGAGCUAUUGGCUGAAACAAAAGAAACAAAAGAAGAGGCAGGCCAAUAGUUCACAGCCAAACCAGACAGAUCCUGGAUCUACAUCUUCAUACUCUGUGGCCUGAAAACUGGUCCUAAAGACUAAGUCUUGUUUCAUGUUUUGAAGAUGUUGAUGUGUCAGAGUCUCAGGAUGAAAACUUUUUCAGGACGAGUCCAGAGUGACAAAGACGCCCUCAGAGAAGGACGAAUCAGACUUCAACUGUCCAGACUCAGGACUGAUGACUCGGGUCUAUAUAUUCAAAGUGAACACAGACCAUGACUGAUUUGAUAGCUGCAGGCUCCAUGUUCCUGGCAAGGUCUUUUCUUUCCUAAUAUGUGUACUAUAUAUAAAUCUAUUGUGUAUUGAAACAAACAUUAUUAGGUGAAAUUCAGAUAUUCUACAGCUUAAUUUUCAGUGUAAACCAAUUCCAUAAACAUUUAUGAUACACAUGUUGAUGUCCUUCACCAAACAGUGGCCUCUGAUCAGCUAGAGGCAGAACCUCAAGGGAGAACCAUUUCUUUAUGUUAGACUGCAGCUAGUAGCAGCCCUUAUGGCUUUCUGUGUUUUUUGUAUUAUAUGGAGAAAACAGUAAAUGAAACACAAACAGUCUGACUUCAUUUUACAAAAUAAGUCAUUAAACCUUUACUUCAGGAGAUUUUGGAACAGGCAUUUUUGUACAUUAGACUGAGAGCUACAGGAGCUCUACCAGCUGUGUUUAACUCCAACUUUAACACAGAUAUAAGUGAAGCUGUAGAGAUGUUUGUUGUGUGCACUUACAUAAUAUGUACAUAAUAUUAAGUAUAAUGUCCUUUGCUACACACAACUCCAUGACAGUUUACAACACGUCAGAUCAUCUUCAUUGUUAACAUAAUUAAUCUGAAUCCUUUCAACAUUACAACAGUAAACACAUUAAACACUGAAUUUAUAUCUGCUGCACGUGGUGCGUGAGGUAGAGGUGUUUCCCUGUGUGAUUACAGUAAAGUGAACACAGUGCACAUUUCAUCAUCUGUCUGAUGAGUGACAAUUUGAUAAUGUGUCUUAAACAAAUAAACAAACAAAAAAACGAAGAUAAAAAAAAUCAAUUUGAUGUCCAUUAUUGUGUAUCAUGACACUUAUUCUCUGGCCAGCAUGUGUCCUAAUGCACUGUCUGUUAAAUAACAAUUAAAAUGCAGUUUUUAUCAGCUUUGAACCCCCAUGAGUACAUCCAUCAGGAUGUUAAACAGAUUUCAUUUAAAUAUUGGAGUUUUUAGCUUAUAUGAGUCUUACCUUUAUGGUGUUCAACUCUGGGAAAAGGGACGUCUCACCAUUGACAGUUUAAUAUC